UACGAAGGGUGCAAGCGUUGUUCGGAAUUAUUGGGCGUAAAGCGCGCGUAGGCGGGCUUGUAAGUCGAUUGUGAAAUCCCCGGGCUCAACCCGGGAAUUGCAGUCGAAACUGCAAGUCUUGAAUGUUUGAGAGGAUGGCGGAAUUCCUGGUGUAGUAGUGAAAUACGUAGAUAUCAGGAGGAACACCGGAGGCGAAGGCGGCUAUCUGGCAAUACAUUGACGCUGAGGCGCGAAAGCGUGGGGAUCAAACAGG
This 253-nucleotide ribosomal RNA is filed under the name uncultured bacterium. RNAcentral's name for it is "partial 16S ribosomal RNA". It matches the Rfam family "Bacterial small subunit ribosomal RNA", at positions 524 to 776 of the family's 1533-position model. The record is from RNAcentral.